RNAcentral lists this ribosomal RNA (473 nucleotides) under uncultured bacterium. Its description in RNAcentral is "partial 16S ribosomal RNA". It matches the Rfam family "Bacterial small subunit ribosomal RNA", at positions 354 to 815 of the family's 1533-position model. The record is from RNAcentral.
UGGGGGAAUAUUGCACAAUGGGCGCAAGCCUGAUGCAGCCAUGCCGCGUGUGUGAAGAAGGCCUUCGGGUUGUAAAGCACUUUCAGCGAGGAGGAAGGUGGUGAGCUUAAUACGCUCAUCAAUUGACGUUACUCGCAGAAGAAGCACCGGCUAACUCCGUGCCAGCAGCCGCGGUAAUACGGAGGGUGCAAGCGUUAAUCGGAAUUACUGGGCGUAAAGCGCACGCAGGCGGUUUGUUAAGUCAGAUGUGAAAUCCCCGGGCUCAACCUGGGAACUGCAUUUGAAACUGGCAAGCUAGAGUCUCGUAGAGGGGGGUAGAAUUCCAGGUGUAGCGGUGAAAUGCGUAGAGAUCUGGAGGAAUACCGGUGGCGAAGGCGGCCCCCCUGGACGAAGACUGACGCUCAGGUGCGAAAAGCGUGGGGAGCAAAACAGGAUUAGAUACCCUGGUAGUCCACGCUGUAAAACGAUGUCGA